UCGUUUAAUCUGAAGAUGAUCUUAAAAGAAGAGAAUUUUGAAAGGAAACAAGUACAAACUCAAUUUUAAGACAAUACAACAAGAAUUUGAUACGAUGUUAUUAGUUCAGAACUACACAAACCCAAAAUGAAACGGCAAUCUAAACAAUAACAAUCCAGCCCAUCAUUACGUAGGAAUAAUGAAACUAAACAAGAUAAAAUCCUAGAAUACCGAUUUUACGGAAGUGAUAGUCUGUAUGAAAGUGAGGAUGAGCAGGAUAGCUGCUGCAACAGUUGCCGUACCUCUCCAAAUAUUGGCGAAAUAUACAAGUUUCAAGGUUGCCUU
Molecule: long non-coding RNA, 324 nt
Filed under: Populus tremula
Lineage: Eukaryota; Viridiplantae; Streptophyta; Magnoliopsida; Malpighiales; Salicaceae
Description: long non-coding RNA (PTRE_LNC003100)
Source: RNAcentral